Molecule: ribosomal RNA, 433 nt
Filed under: uncultured bacterium
Lineage: Bacteria
Description: partial 16S ribosomal RNA
Rfam family: Bacterial small subunit ribosomal RNA
Source: RNAcentral
AACGAACGCUGGCGGCAUGCCUAACACAUGCAAGUCGAACGAGACCUUCGGGUCUAGUGGCGCACGGGUGCGUAACGCGUGGGAACUUGCCCUUAGGUUCGGAAUAACUCCCCGAAAGGGGUGCUAAUACCGGAUAAUGUCUUCGGACCAAAGAUUUAUCGCCUUUGGAUGGGCCCGCGUUGGAUUAGCUAGUUGGUAGGGUAAAAGCCUACCAAGGCGACGAUCCAUAGCUGGUCUGAGAGGAUGAUCAGCCACACUGGGACUGAGACACGGCCCAGAAUCGUACGGGAGGCAGCAGUGGGGAAUAUAGGACAAUGGGCGAAAGCCUGAUACAGCAAUGCCGCGUGAGUGAUGAAGGCCUUAGGGUUGUAAAGCUCUUUUAGCCGGGAUGAUAAUGACAGUACCGGGAGAAUAAGCUCCGGCUAACUCCGUG